Molecule: ribosomal RNA, 299 nt
Filed under: Fibrobacter succinogenes
Lineage: Bacteria; Pseudomonadati; Fibrobacterota; Fibrobacteria; Fibrobacterales; Fibrobacteraceae
Description: partial 16S ribosomal RNA
Source: RNAcentral
GGAGUCUGGGCCGUAUCUCAGUCCCAAUGUGGCCGAUCACCCUCUCAGGCCGGCUACCGAUCGUCGCCUUGGUGGGCCGUUGCCCCGCCAACUAGCUAAUCGGACGCAAGCUCAUCCCAUACCGAUAAAUCUCUAGUCAGCCCUCCAUGCGGAAGGCCACUCUCCUGGACAUUAACCGCGCGUUGGCACGGGUAUUUCCUGAUAUGGGGCAGAUUGCUUACGCGUUACUCACCCGUUCGCCGCUCGGCAUUGCUGCCUCGCUCGACUUGCAUGUAUAAGACACGCCACCAGCGUUCGUU